Molecule: long non-coding RNA, 569 nt
Organism: Mesocricetus auratus (golden hamster)
Lineage: Eukaryota; Metazoa; Chordata; Mammalia; Rodentia; Cricetidae
Exons: 3
Source: RefSeq, a predicted model, not a curated record
UACUUAGGAGUAUAGGGAGAAGCAUGCCAGAAAAUUCCUUUCAUCUGUGGCCUUAUUGAAAUCCAGAAAGUGGAUACAUGCUCUGAUUGCUAAAUGCAUGGUCCAUCCUAGAGAUUUUUCUGCCUUCUGUUAUGUAACUGAUUUCCCUAAGGCACUCACCCAGACCUGACCUGUGCAGGCAUUAGGAAGCAGCUUCAGAACCACCCCAUCUUUUCACCAAGUUCCCAUGGCUUUCAAGCUUGGUUAUGGUUGAAAUACGUUGGUGUCAUCUCGUGGCAGAAUUCUGAACUGCAGCUUGAACACCCCAGGCAGUAAAGAGGUGCCAGAUUUCCUGCUGUGUACUGUGUAGAGAAGCCUAUCAAAUACUCAAGCAAGCAAAACCCAUGCAUUUGGCACACUGCUGUUCAAAACAGGAGUUUCACAAAGAGUAAGUCUGAUUCUCCCGAGUAGGCUCUGCCUUUCUAUAGAAUUCACUGGUUUGGAUUUCACAUGCCACUCAUCUCCCCAGAUAGCUGCUGCACCUGGAGCUAAAACACAGCGGGGUGCGGACGGCCGGGGUGGGGGGUGGG